AUUAACGACCUAGAUUCAAUCUCAAAUCCGGUUGCACGUAGGAUCAGCCUGGACUCAGAAGUGCUGCCAAGUUGAUUCAGGAUGGUUCAUUGGCUGAGCUUGUUCGCAAACGCUAGCAGAGUUUUGAUACAGAAAUCGGGGCACGAGUGGAGGCUGGUAAGGGAGAUUUUGAAACGCUUGAGAAGCUGGCCAUGAAAUGGGGUGAACCCAAGGUUCCAUCUGCUAAGCAGGAACUUGCUGAGAUGAUAUUCCAGUCUGCACUGUAGAAAAUGGCACAUAGACAGAUGACUAGAGGCCCCCACCCCCCUUUUUUUUUUUUUUUUAUCCUUUUUCCUUGUAUCUAAUCAUCUUCAUCGGAAAUAAUACGCAAUAGAGUUCUCACUAAUAAUAGAUGCAGCGAAUUGAACUUAAUUCUGAAGUUGGAUUCUGUUUCUUGUAAA
Molecule: long non-coding RNA, 440 nt
Organism: Populus nigra (black poplar)
Lineage: Eukaryota; Viridiplantae; Streptophyta; Magnoliopsida; Malpighiales; Salicaceae
Exons: 4
Source: RefSeq, a predicted model, not a curated record